Molecule: ribosomal RNA, 265 nt
Filed under: uncultured Coprobacillus sp.
Lineage: Bacteria; Bacillati; Bacillota; Erysipelotrichia; Erysipelotrichales; Coprobacillaceae
Description: partial 16S ribosomal RNA
Rfam family: Bacterial small subunit ribosomal RNA
Source: RNAcentral
UUCACUUCGGUGAAGAGUGGCGAACGGGUGAGUAAUACAUAAGUAACCUGGCAUCUACAGGGGGAUAACUGAUGGAAACGUCAGCUAAGACCGCAUAGGUGUAGAGAUCGCAUGAACUCUAUAUGAAAAGUGCUACGGGACUGGUAGAUGAUGGACUUAUGGCGCAUUAGCUAGUUGGUAGGGUAACGGCCUACCAAGGCGACGAUGCGUAGCCGACCUGAGAGGGUGACCGGCCACACUGGGACUGAGACACGGCCCAGACUCC